AAGGAAGGCCAUGAGGCAAUAAGCACUGCUAAUACUUAUACCCACGGUUAAAUUCCGUGGUUUCCUUA
This 68-nucleotide transfer RNA is filed under the name Troglonectes donglanensis. RNAcentral's name for it is "tRNA-Ser". RNAcentral also lists the same sequence under 2 other names. Lineage: Eukaryota; Metazoa; Chordata; Actinopteri; Cypriniformes; Nemacheilidae. The record is from RNAcentral.